Molecule: non-coding RNA, 30 nt
Filed under: Mus musculus (house mouse)
Lineage: Eukaryota; Metazoa; Chordata; Mammalia; Rodentia; Muridae
Source: RNAcentral
UAAAUGCGUGGCUACUUCACAGAAGGUGAC